Molecule: non-coding RNA, 4194 nt
Organism: Nerophis lumbriciformis (worm pipefish)
Lineage: Eukaryota; Metazoa; Chordata; Actinopteri; Syngnathiformes; Syngnathidae
Source: RefSeq, a predicted model, not a curated record
UUAUUUGUGGCGGCCCGCCACGAAAGAAUUAUGUCCGCCACAAAUGGAUUUUUCGGCUUUUGACUCGCUCGACCGCUCAUAAAAGCAAUGGGACUGUCUGUGAAUGUUGCUUGUAGUUACACCUCCGGUGCAGUAGGUGGCGGUAUGCAUUGUAACUCCGCCAAUAGCACUUAAUUCACCUGGUGGGCCAGAAGAAGAAGAAGAAGAAGAGGGACGGACGGACGGGACCAAAAUACUCGCCGACUACUUUUCAUAAUGAUGGCGCUUCCUACGUUUCUACCUCAAACGUCCAAAAGCUGCUGAAAGCCUUGAUCCAGGAUACCAUGGGGAAAAAAACUUAAAUGGUGCCUUUUGGCGAUAGUUAGCAGCUUGGUGGCUCAUAGCCGGCUAGCUAACGCUUGCUAGCGUGGUAGCAUUGCUUCAUUUUUACAGGUGUUAUAGGUAGAUAGGUUAUAGAUGCAUCGCUCGCGGCUCGUCAUAUUUAAUGUUAAUCCGCGAUUUCACCGAGCGUUUCACUGACGGUUUCGCCUGACGCUGCUUCAUUAACACCGCCGCUGUUUGACUCGGUCACCUGUUUUCAUACCGACGAGCUAACGUGUCCAGGUUAUAACCCUGUUGUCAAUAAACACACAUGGACUGAAGCUAAAUUGUUCACUGUCCACUGCAGCAUGUGAAUGCAAUGAAAAUAAUAAAAUCUGAACCAACCAGCUGUUAAAAUGUUGUCCAGGUUAAUGUUUUAUUAAAGGCCCUUCAUUUCAAGAUUUCAACUGUGAUCGGGCUUUAAACAGGUGGAUGACCUGUUCAGAUGGGUGUAACUGCUACUGGUCAAAUAAUGUGAAAUAGCAUUUAAUUUUACAUGUAUGCAAUGCCAUUUAAAUGUAAUUAUAGAUAAUAAUAAAUACUGUGUAGUGUUGUAAAUAGUAAACGGGAAGGAUUCUAGUAAGAUAUAAGCCAUGAGCACUACACAGCCAGAAAAAAACCUAGGCAGGACAAGUAAAAAUAUUGGGGUAAGUAGAUUUGAGAAGUCGGGCAAGUAGAAAAAAACCUUAACGUUGAACCCUGCAUGUGUUGAGCUGCUGGUUAAACGGCACUGUACAUAGAGCGCUUCUGCUCGUUAGUAAUACAUUCUAAUGUUGGAUGUUCACUCCUUCACACAGUUGAGUAUAGAAAAAUAUUUUCAACGGCCGAAAAGGGCUGGACUUGGAGAGGAGGUAGGCCUACAGUCCGGACCACAGGUGCGACCUGUUCAGCAGGAGGAGGAGGUUGACUGACUGUGGCAGGACACCUCUGCCUCUGUUUCACUUCAUGUUGCUGGUAAAUAAUAUGGUUGUAGUAGUAGGCUAAAGUUAAAUUAUUUAGUAUUCACUAAUUAAAGGGGCAGAGCUUUAAGAGACAUUUUAGCUUUUAUAUUUUAUAAGAUAUAUUUUUUGUAAGAACCACAAUUAAUAAAUAUAUUUCAGUGAAUCACUAAUUGUUCAAAUCUGUAUAUAAAUAUGUACAUAAAAUGUUGUAAUUAUAUUCCAACUCCGCGUUCUUCUUGGUCAUCGCCGCUGCCGCCCCCAAGUAUGAGUAUUAACGGUGAAUGCGCUGUAUAAUACCGGCGGUCCAGCUCUAAUGUUAAUUUGAUAUUGCCUCAAGGGCCAAAUUAAAUUACAGGGCGGGACAAAUUUUGCCCGCGGGCCAGAGUUUGACACCCAUGAUUUCGCAGGUCAGAAGAAGACAAUUCACUGGUAGUUUGGAUAUGUGUUCUGCAUAAAUUAAACAGGGGCGGAAUUAAAGAUGAACGCCAACACAAUACAAUUUGAUAAGUCACCUUAAAAUGUACUAAUGUGAAGAUUUAUGGAAGCAGUGCGAAGCUGCUGUGCUAAGCCAAGACUUGGGGUUAAUAGCGGCGACCACAGCAAACAAAAAAUCACGGGACAGUUUGAAAUAAAAUACUUGGGGCUAAAGAACGUGACGACAAAAUGAGUACAUGUUUAUGUCUAACUUCAUGGUAACUCUUAGUUAACUUUUAUGAGUUCUUAGUGCAAAAAAGCACUUUUGUCAUUUGAACCCAGAUUUUUUUGAAUAAUUUACAAUUGAACCUUUCUGCACUAGUUUAUUACAGUCAAGGAACAAUAUAAUUAUCGUAAAUUGAUCUUAUUUUUGUCAAGGAACAAUAUAAAUAUCGUAAAUGUAUCUUAUUUUUGUCAAUCAACACGCAAUGUUACGCCACCUGUUUCAGAAUGAAUGAAUUAAUUUUUACGACGAUGCAGAAUCUAAUUGCCGUAGUUUUAUUCGCCUCAUAUACCUAUGUCGUGUUGGACAGAUUUUCUUUUUUUAUUGUAUGAAAUCAUGUACAGAAUGUUUGAGUUGCUUGUUGUCUAUCAUUGAAAUAAUUACGUUUCGAUAUCAAUACAUUAAAAAUAUAUUUUGCUCUACGCAAUGAUUUUAAUUGUUUACGUGGGUCAGAAUUAUAGUAGGAAGUCUACCGUAUUUUUCGUACUAUAAGUCGCAGUUUUUUUCAUAGUUUGGCGACUUAUAUAUGUUUUUUUCCUUCUUUAUUAUGCAUUUUCGGCAGGUGCGACUUAUACUCCGAAAAACACGGUAUUUGUUUCUGAAAAAUAUCAUUCAUUAAAAAACAGAAAUAUAAGUUGACAUACUUAUCUUUACAAAAGAUGUACAUCUUUUUGUUAGAGUGUACACACAUUUUGGGCAAAAGUGUGAACUGUUAAAAUCAUUUCUUCCCACAAAAUCUCCAGUAGUUAUAUGUACACAUAAUUAUCGGUUGUCUGUAUCGUUUUAAAAUGUCCAUUAUCGCGCAUGUCUAAUAUUCCGAGCAUUUGAAGGUUUUUGUAUGUUGUCUAUGUGUGAUGAACAUCCACACAACAUCAAGUUUAUUAGUCCUCUACUCCUCACGCUAAUUGCUGCAAAAAGACGUAACACACACAUAAUAUCAGAAGAAAAGGAAACGCUGACUAAGACUUUUGAAUGUUCAUAUUUUCCAUUUCAGACCGACUCAAAGCAGCGUAGUUGUUGAGAAGAACAGCACUUUUGCAGCACUCCUGUCAUAUAAAAGAUCUCAGACUAGUUGCAGAGAGCUCGGAACACGGACAGCCCUUGAAGCUCUCGUGAAUGGCCGCCAUGGUGUGGAAGGUCUUCUCCCAGAAGUGCAACAGUGUGGUCUGCCAGGCGACAAAGGACAAGAAGGACACUGACAACAAGUGUGUGGUGCUGCUGUGUACCUGGUAGGAGGAACCGCUCUCACUCCCACUGACCUUACGGAACUUCUCCAUCUGCUUGUGCGUGUCCGGGUCCAGCUCCUGAGAGACGUCCUUCAUCCACAGGAGUGCGCCGCGGUACUCAGUCCUGGUCUGCUCCAUGCGGUUGACCGUCAGCCAGGUGUCGGAGAUGGCCCUGAAGCGGAAGGUCUCCACUUCUUGCUGCUGACCACCACUGGCUCACCUCUGCUGCGAGGAGAAGCAGAGAGCUUUGCCUGUGGCCUGCAUGAUCUUCCCAGCCCUGCUUCUGUCCUGGGAACCCUGGGACCGCAGGAACCGGCCCAGCUCGCUCUCCUCCUGGGAAAGAACUGCAGAGCGCUUCAGUCGUCAGUUUGAACGGUCUGGAUAGAGGUCAGUUGGAGAUGGUUCUUACAGCAGAUCCUCCUCUGGUACUGCUCGAUGACUUUUAGCAGCUCCAUGCAUGUCCUCUGAAUGGAGUGGAACACCUGAAGAACCGCACAGAAAACGUUCCAAUUUAAAGGCCUACUGAAAGCCACUACUACCGACCACGCAGUCUGAUAGUUUAAAUAUCAAUGAUGAAAUCUUAACAUUGCAACACAUGCCAAUACGGCCGGGUUAGCUUACUAAAGUGCAAUUUUAAAUUUUGCGCGAAAUAUCCUGCUGAAAACGUCUCGGUAUGAUGACGUCGGCGCGUGACGUCACGGAUUGUAGAAGACAUUUUGGGACAGCAUGGUGGCCAGCUAUUAAGUCGUCUGUUUUCAUCGCAAAAUUCCACAGUAUUCUGGACAUCUGUGUUGGUGAAUCUUUUGCAAUUUGUUCAAUGAACAAUGGAGACAGCAAAGAAGAAAGCUGUAGGUGGGAAGCGGUGUAUUGCGGGCGGCUGCAGCAACACAAACACAGCCGGUGUUUCAUUGUUUACAUUCCCGGAAGAUGACAGUCAAGCUUUACCAUUGGCCUGUGGAGAACUGGGACA